AGACGGGGGGUGCUAGCGUUGUUUGGAAUUACUGGGCGUAAAGGGCGCGUAGGCGGCUCUGCGAGUCGGGCGUGAAAUCCCGGGGCUCAACCCCGGAACGGCGCUCGAUACUGCGGGGCUGGAGACCGGAAGAGGAGGGUGGAAUUCCCAGUGUAGAGGUGAAAUUCGUAGAUAUUGGGAGGAACACCGGUGGCGAAAGCGGCUCUCUGGUCCGGUUCUGACGCUGAGGCGCGAAAGCGUGGGGAGCAAACAGGAUUAGAAACCCUAGUAGUCC
Molecule: ribosomal RNA, 274 nt
Filed under: uncultured bacterium
Lineage: Bacteria
Description: partial 16S ribosomal RNA
Rfam family: Bacterial small subunit ribosomal RNA
Source: RNAcentral